This 468-nucleotide ribosomal RNA is filed under the name uncultured organism. RNAcentral describes it as "bacterial SSU rRNA". It matches the Rfam family "Bacterial small subunit ribosomal RNA", at positions 8 to 487 of the family's 1533-position model. The record is from RNAcentral.
AGAGUUUGAUCCUGGCUCAGGACGAACGCUGGCGGCGUGCUUAACACAUGCAAGUCGAACGGAAAGGCCCUGCUUUUGUGGGGUGCUCGAGUGGCGAACGGGUGAGUAACACGUGAGUAACCUGCCCUUGACUUUGGGAUAACUUCAGGAAACUGGGGCUAAUACCGGAUAGGAGCUCCUGCUGCAUGGUGGGGGUUGGAAAGUUUCGGCGGUUGGGGAUGGACUCGCGGCUUAUCAGCUUGUUGGUGGGGUAGUGGCUUACCAAGGCUUUGACGGGUAGCCGGCCUGAGAGGGUGACCGGCCACAUUGGGACUGAGAUACGGCCCAGACUCCUACGGGAGGCAGCAGUGGGGAAUAUUGCACAAUGGGCGGAAGCCUGAUGCAGCAACGCCGCGUGCGGGAUGACGGCCUUCGGGUUGUAAACCGCUUUCGCCUGUGACGAAGCGUGAGUGACGGUAAUGGAAAGAG